GCACAGCUGGGGACGCUGGUGGUGGCCGUGGGGGAGCUGGGGGUUGGGGGGGAGGUCAAAGGGAGCUGAACUCUGUGCUUCUCGCCAUCAUCACAGCCGCUCAGCGGGCCCCUCGCUCUCCUCUUGCUUUUUCUUCUCCUCUCCUGAUUCCUUCCAGGAUGUUCUUUGCCCACUGAGUGAGAUGCGAGGGGCAUCAAGACCGCUCCUUGUCCUUGACUGUGUCCAGGGGCUACCGUUAGUGACUGGUGCCCUUGGUAACCAGGACUUGGUCUCUUGAAGGAGUGAGAAGGAGCAAGAAAGAGGGUGGAAGCCGGCUCUGCGCAAGGCGGGCCUGGUAGAGUCCUCGGCAGGCUGGGCUGGGAGGGAUGGAAAGGAGGGGAUUUGCGGUGCGGUGGCCGUGGCGCUGCAUUGUUUAGGGCAGCAGGGGGCGCCCGCGGCUUCCUCGCGCAGACCGGCCGCAGGAGAUCGGACCCUGGGGAAAUUCCGCCCGCGCGGAGCCAGCCAGCCGCGGGGGCCAGGCCAGGACACUGCGGGCCUCGGCGCCGCUCCGCCCUCGCCAGCUGUCGGGAGCGCGCAGUACCCGCUCCCAGCUGCCGCUCCUGGGCCCCGCAUCCACAGUUCACUCAGUGCCCAGGAAGGCACUGAGUUCCCAUCCGCAAGGCGGACCGUCCUCCCUGGGCUCGUCUUUGCAGUGGGGAGUGUUUACUGCACAAGGGGAGGCAUGGUCACCCCAGGACAGACGUCAGCUCCUGCAGACCCAUCGGGUGCCGCUGUAGGGCGCUUAGCCGCCUUCCCCGCGAGGCUGGAGGGGCCUCGGGAGAGGGAAGACAGCUGCCGCGCUCCCUGGAGCCCUUUUCCUUAGAUAAUGCCUGAAGGAAAAGGAGAGGGGAAAAGUAGAAGCCGGAGGCGUCCUGGGGAUCUUCCCAACCCCAGGACUGAACACACAUCUCCUGUGUUUCCUGCAUUGGCAGGUGUGCUCCCGGUACAUCACCCACUCUUCUUGACCACCUCCAUCAACAAGAGGCCAGUGGGUGUGCUUCCCCAGGUCCUGCUGUCUCCUCUGCUUUUAACUCAGAGCAGCACUGCGAUGGACGUCUCUUCCAGCUGAGAUGGUCAAGGUCAAGACUGUGAGGUGGGGACUUCCCUGAUGGUCCAGUGGUUAAGAAUCUGCCUGUCAAUACAGAGGACACAGGUUCGAUUCCUAGUAUGGGAAGAUUCCACACGCGUCGGGACAACUUAGCGUGUGUGCCACAACUACUGAGCCUGUGCACCCUAGAGGCCAUGCCUCACAACAAGAGAAGUCACCUCAAUGAGAAGCUUGCUCCUCGCAAUUAGAGGAAACCCAUCCACAGCAAUGAAGACUCAGAAAAGCCACGUCUAUAAAGAGUGAGAGAUGGACCUUGGAAAUGGGUAAUGUUCACAACUCAACAAGCAAUGACCAAGUACCCAGCAUGCUGCCAGGCGGUGGUGAUACUGUGA
Long non-coding RNA from Bos taurus (domestic cattle), 1479 nucleotides. The record is from Ensembl. NCBI's taxonomy places the organism in Eukaryota, Metazoa, Chordata, Mammalia, Artiodactyla, Bovidae.